UACGUAGGGGGCUAGCGUUGUCCGGAUUUAUUGGGCGUAAAGAGCGUGUAGGCGGCCAGGUAGGUCUGCUGUGAAAACUCGAGGCUCAACCUCGAGACGUCGGCGGAAACCAUCUGGCUAGAGUCCGGAAGAGGAGAGUGGAAUUCCUGGUGUAGCGGUGAAAUGCGCAGAUAUCAGGAAGAACACCCGUGGCGAAGGCGGCUCUCUGGGACGGUACUGACGCUGAGACGCGAAAGCGCGGGGAGCGAACAGG
This 253-nucleotide ribosomal RNA is filed under the name uncultured bacterium. RNAcentral describes it as "partial 16S ribosomal RNA". It matches the Rfam family "Bacterial small subunit ribosomal RNA", at positions 524 to 776 of the family's 1533-position model. The record is from RNAcentral.